AGUGAACGCUGGCGGUAGGCCUAACACAUGCAAGUCGAACGGCAGCACAGUAAGAGCUUGCUCUUACGGGUGGCGAGUGGCGGACGGGUGUGGAAUACAUCGGAAUCUACUUUUUCGUGGGGGAUAACGUAGGGAAACUUACGCUAAUACCGCAUACGACCUACGGGUGAAAGCAGGGGAUCUUCGGACCUUGCGCGAUUGAAUGAGCCGAUGUCGGAUUAGCUAGUUGGCGGGGUAAAGGCCCACCAAGGCGACGAUCCGUAGCUGGUCUGAGAGGAUGAUCAGCCACACUGGAACUGAGACACGGUCCAGACUCCUACGGGAGGCAGCAGUGGGGAAUAUUGGACAAUGGGCGCAAGCCUGAUCCAGCCAUACCGCGUGGGUGAAGAAGGCCUUCGGGUUGUAAAGCCCUUUUGUUGGGAAAGAAAAGCAGCAGGUUAAUACCCCGCUGUUCUGACGGUACCCAAAGAAUAAGCGCCGGCUAACUUCGUG
RNAcentral lists this ribosomal RNA (492 nucleotides) under uncultured bacterium. RNAcentral's name for it is "partial 16S ribosomal RNA". It matches the Rfam family "Bacterial small subunit ribosomal RNA", at positions 29 to 507 of the family's 1533-position model. The record is from RNAcentral.